This is a long non-coding RNA of Sinocyclocheilus anshuiensis, 402 nucleotides long. RefSeq lists it as uncharacterized. The transcript has 3 exons. Lineage: Eukaryota; Metazoa; Chordata; Actinopteri; Cypriniformes; Cyprinidae. The record is from RefSeq and is a predicted model, not a curated record.
CUCACCUUUGCAUGUGGCCACACGGACAGGUCACAGUCAUGUGGUCCAACAUCUUCUAACCAGUAGAAUCAAUAUUAAUGCAAAAGAUUGGGAAGGAGACACGGCACUGCAUGAUGCUGUCAGAUUAAAUCGGUAUUAAAAUUGUUAAACUCCUUAUACUGGCAGGAGCCGAUAUGCAGAUCAAGAAUGCUGAGGGCAUUACGGCCACAGAACAGGUGAAGCAAUGGCAGUUUGACACAAAGGAGACAUUGGAGAAACUAGAACAGAUGAGAGAGGUUGGUCUGGCCUGACAGACACAUGGAGAUGCAUUGGAUUCAUUAGAGCAUCUGUGAACAGGUGCACGGCUGGAGAACAACCCCACCUCUGUCUGAGUAACUAUUUACUUUCUGUGUUAAUUAGUGC